GAUGAGCGCUGGCGGCGUGCCUAAUACAUGCAAGUCGAGCGAACGGACGAGAAGCUUGCUUCUCUGAUGUUAGCGGCGGACGGGUGAGUAACACGUGGAUAACCUACCUAUAAGACUGGGAUAACUUCGGGAAACCGGAGCUAAUACCGGAUAAUAUUUUGAACCGCAUGGUUCAAAAGUGAAAGACGGUCUUGCUGUCACUUAUAGAUGGAUCCGCGCUGCAUUAGCUAGUUGGUAAGGUAACGGCUUACCAAGGCAACGAUGCAUAGCCGACCUGAGAGGGUGAUCGGCCACACCGGAACUGAGACACGGUCCAGACUCCUACGGGAGGCAGCAGUAGGGAAUCUUCCGCAAUGGGCGAAAGCCUGACGGAGCAACGCCGCGUGAGUGAUGAAGGUCUUCGGAUCGUAAAACUCUGUUAUUAGGGAAGAACAUAUGUGUAAGUAACUGUGCACAUCUUGACGGUACCUAAUCAGAAAGCCACGGCUAACUACGUG
This 497-nucleotide ribosomal RNA is filed under the name uncultured bacterium. Its description in RNAcentral is "partial 16S ribosomal RNA". It matches the Rfam family "Bacterial small subunit ribosomal RNA", at positions 28 to 507 of the family's 1533-position model. The record is from RNAcentral.